This 1982-nucleotide long non-coding RNA is filed under the name Citrus maxima (pomelo). RNAcentral's name for it is "long non-coding RNA (CMAX_LNC001997)". The record is from RNAcentral. Lineage: Eukaryota; Viridiplantae; Streptophyta; Magnoliopsida; Sapindales; Rutaceae.
UAAUGCUGAAGCUUGUGUUUGGUCUAAUGGAAAAUCUUCUUGCGCUUCAAAUUCUGCUUCCUCUACAUCCAGCAACGGUGCUUGGUUCUCACAAGAGCUAGAUUCAACAAAUCAAAAUAGGCUGAAAUGGGUGCAGAAGAAUUACAUGAUUUACAAUUACUGCACUGAUACAAAGAGAUUUCCUCAGGGCCUUCCUGCAGAAUGCAGAACCUCCUAGAGAAAAUAAUCAACAAGACGCUUAAAAAUUAUUUUAUUCUUUCGUGUAAUCAUUCAAUGGUUAUUCAAUUCAUGUAGAUUCUGGAGUCAGAUUCUUUGUUUCUCUGUAAUCAAUAAAAUGGCAUAUUAGUCCAAUUUUUACCAUAUGUAACACUGGUUAAUGAAUUUUAAAAAGGAUAAUGUUAUGCGUACUUGCGUGGUAUACAAAUUAAGUAUGCUAACUAAGUAAACAUAAUAUUACUAUUUCAAAAGAUUUUGUUCUUCUUUGUUGUUAUUCUUCGUAAGCUUUAGCAUAUAGUUAUAAGCCUAAUUAAAGGUAUUGACAUGAUGACUCAUUAAUAAAGCUUUUAGACCCUAGAUUGGAAUAUGACGAAUUAUCGAGGAUGCAUGAAGAUAAGAGCAAAUGAGUCUCCACCAGAAUGAGAAGAAAAUAUACUGCGUGUGAGCGUUACCGUAUUUGUGUCAAUCGAGGAGAAAUUUUAGCCAUUGAUUAGUAUUUAGAUAAGGCAGUAAAAGGGUAAAAUGGCAGAAAUAAACUAAAAAAAUAACAGAGUGAACUUGCACAAGUCGAUGAGGAAGAGUGAUGCAUACCGUUAUUGUUGUACGUGUUAAUUAAUAAUGAGAGGGGGACAAGCUGCGAGCCAGCUCUCAAGAGUUGAUUUUUCAAGGCGAGUCAACCCCGCCAUGCCACCACCGCCUUUCCAGAUAAACAAAUUAAACAUUCUCUAGUAUAAGUGGUAAUAUACAAAACAGGAAACAGGGCUUUUGUACACAGCAAAAUCUUCAGUCCGUUCGAUUUAAAUACCAAUAUCUAUAAAUUCCUUAAUAAUAAUAAUAAUAAGCAUAUCUUCCAGUUCUAUAUGUGUUUUAUUACAUACGAACCCACCGGAAAGUAUGUGUUAGUGUUGUGAAAAUUUUAAUAUAUUCGCAAGUGCACGAAUCUAGAGAUAGAAUUGUGAUAACGAGAUCGAUCCCACAUGGAUUGUUAUAAAUUAAAAAGUCUAAUUUAAAUCUAAAAUUAAUAUUAAUCCUAACCUAGUUGAGCAAAUUGAGUUUCAAAAGAAAUUAAACUAAUUAAACUAAGAAAACAAUUAAAGUAAAUGAGAUUUCAAUGAGACAAAAAUUACCAAGGUUUCGGAAUCCACCACUAGUCAAUUAGUAAUUAUCUAAUUAUUAAUUAAUCCCUAAUUUUAGAGUGACAACUCGAAAUCAAUCUAUGUCAUCUCAUAAAUAUAAUAAUUAAGCCCAAUUAAAAUUAAUCUUGUGUAUGUUAUUUUUCUGCUUAAUAGUAUGAUAUCUAAGUAUCCCAUGUAAACAUAUUAAAUAACAAAAAGUCAAAAUUUUCCUAAGCACUCUAUGUAAACAAUUUAAUGAAAGAUAUAGAAUCAAAGAUAAUAAUGUAUAAACUUUAUAUAUCCAAGCAUAGAUUUAAUCGAACAUUAAUCCUAACAAUCAAUAAUACAUGAUAGAAUUGAUGAAAAGUUUUUAAUAACAUAUAAUUAAUCAUGUGAAAUAAAAACUAUAAUCAUUAAAGAACAUAUAUAGGAAAUUAAAUAAAUAAAAAGAUAAUUAUUUCAUUAAAUAAGGUAUCAUCUUUAAUCUUGGUAUAAGAAAAUUAGUUAGACAUACUUAAAUUGGGAGUAACACAAAAAAUAAAAUCACUCAUAGAAGCCGAACUGCUGCUGCUCUUCGUCCCGAAGCCGAACUGCUGCUGCUCUUCGUCCCGCGGCUUCUCUUCUGGCGGCCGCCUUUCCCUCUUGCAAAAG